Molecule: RNA transcript, 1371 nt
Organism: Ipomoea nil (Japanese morning glory)
Lineage: Eukaryota; Viridiplantae; Streptophyta; Magnoliopsida; Solanales; Convolvulaceae
Exons: 4
Source: RefSeq, a predicted model, not a curated record
ACGAGGAGGGCGCGAAAGGCGACACGUGUUAGUCUCUGGUAGGCCAUUGAAGUCAACUCAAUCUGGUUCUAUCGUCGCAGAAGACUCCGAGAAUAAGACCGUUAGUAAAAAGAAGACAGAAAAGAGAGGGGGCACGUGACGGAGGAUGCAUUUCCGUCUCCUUUCCUUUGCGACGACGACGGAGGAGACGACUUUAUAAGCCAGGGAGGGAAGACCCGACACACAAAAUGACAAAAAACCCUUGCCAUUUCACCCAAAUUUCACUCGCAUUUCAUCUGCAUUUACAUUUCACUCCCCAACGGCUCACUCACACAACAAUCGGAUCACGCGCUUAUCCUUGCCUCUCACUCUAUAAAUACUGCCUUCUCCCCCUUUCCUUUCGCCAUUUUUUUGCUUCACUGUAGGCGUGGUGCGCAGAGAGCUAGAGAGAAGGAGGCUAGAGAGAGAGAGAGAGAGAUAAGGCGGUACUCUGGGAUCUACACAGACAUUGAACGCUGGGCAGCUAGGUUGUGGGACUCACCAGAGAUUCGCUCGCUCGCUCUUGAAGACUGAAGCUAGCAAUGGAGGAUAAAUAUUGCCCAAUGAAAUAGUGUUUCUUCUGGAACUCAGAAUUCCCAUAAGGUGCAGGCUGUGUUUUCUCAGGAUUUACCUACCAACUGAAGUUGAGGCCUGCAAAUAUAAUUCUCCACUGUCACACAACACUCAUGUGUUUACAAUGAACUUGUGAAAUUAGCUAAAUCCUAAACUACUGUUCAGUGAUGUGCUUAAACAGAUGCUUCCCUGCUACUGACUAAACAUCAUAAUGACCAUCUGCAACUACCAGAUUGUCGUCAAGAUCUUCAGGUUUUUCCAAGAAACAAAAUUGCUGGAAUCAACAUAUACCCGUACAUCUCCAGAAUCUCAUGAAAGUGCAGGGAUAGUCAGCAGCAGCAAUUUGAUCUGACAGUGAUGUCGCAUUUUCCAAUUUCAUCUGAUCGGUUCCCACAGUGACUCUAGAAGAAAUUUGUUGGAAUCUCAACAUAUACCUCCUGAAUCUCCCAGGAUAGAGCAGGGAGGGAUUCUUGUUUUAGUGGUAAUCCAGUUACGAGAUUGCUUUUCAAAGUCGGCCUUUACUCCUCUAAUUUGCAAUUCUUUCUUUAUAUAUAGAGAGUAAUACAUUCUAUGAAGUUGCAUUGAGUCUUAGCAAAUCUUCCUUGUGAUUCUCAUUAUACUUUGUAAUUCAGAAAUGAGUAUUCUCUUUGAAGUUGCAAAGUUGCAUUGAGUCUUAGCAAAUCUUCCUUGUGAUUCUCAUUAUUCUUUGUAAUUCAGAAAAUGAGUAUUCUCUUUGAAGUUGCAUUCUAUAUAUGAUUGAAUGAUGUUGUCCUUUGUCCA